RNAcentral lists this unclassified non-coding RNA (362 nucleotides) under soil metagenome. RNAcentral describes it as "partial contains 5.8S ribosomal RNA, internal transcribed spacer 2, and large subunit ribosomal RNA". The stretch from base 1 to 120 matches the Rfam family "5.8S ribosomal RNA", at positions 35 to 154 of the family's 154-position model. The record is from RNAcentral.
GAUGAAGAACGCAGCGAAAUGCGAUAAGUAAUGUGGAUUGCAGAAUUCAGUGAAUCAUCGAAUCUUUGAACGCACCUUGCGCUCCUUGGUAUUCCGAGGAGCAUGCCUGUUUGAGUGUCAUUAAUAUAUCAACCUUCUCUUUUUUGAGUUGUUUGGAUGUGGGGGUUUGCUGGCCUCUUAAAUGAUUCAGCUCCCCUGAAAUGCAUUAGCAGAACAACCUGUUCAUUAGCGUGAUAAUUAUCUAUGCUAUUGAAUGUGAGGGCAGUUCAGCUUUCUAACCGUCCUUGGACAAUUCAUCAUUAAUGUGACCUCAAAUCAGGUAGGACUACCCGCUGAACUUAAGCAUAUCAAUAAGCGGAGGA